GUGCCUUUUCAAUGUGAACAAUCUUUAUGGAACUGAGAAGUAUUUUGAAUGCUUUUGUUCAGAACGAUUUUGAGUUGUCUGAGUAUUCAAAGAAGUAAAAUGCCAAUCUGUGGAUGCAUCUGACAGAAUGGCAAACACUAUGAACAUAUGGCUGUACAAUUUUUUGUGCAAAUAUAUUGCUGUAAUUUUGAAAGGAAGGGUCUGGAACUUAAGCUCAUUUUUCCUGUAGUUCAUGUUUACUUAUUAUUGCUGUUAUCUCUGGUGCUUUUCUGGACUUACCCUCAUAAAAGCUGUGCUUUAAAACUGCUAUUAUUAGUACUUAUUUGAUAUUUAUUUUCCCUUGGUGGGUUUGUUGUGCUCAUCAUAUCCUUAGAACUCGUAUUGUGAUGUGCUUUUCAUAAAUCAGCUAGUUUGAAUAUAAAAUUAAAUUUGGGGAGUGUCAUCUUUGAUGGACGAUUCAUAUACUGUCCGUGUAUGAUAGUUUUGAUGCAGUAAUGGAUCUCCAUAGGGCACUGGGCUGUUUAUGGUCAAUUUUGCAUUUAAAGUAUGACUUGUAAUAAAACAGAUGAAUGUCUUUACGGUCAGUAUUAUCAAGAGUUUUUUAAAUUUACUUUUAUAAUAUGAAGGCCUGUAGAGGGGUGGAGUGGGCACUGGGUUUGAAGUCAAUUUUACCCGUUAAUUUAAAGAAGAGCUCAACGUGGAGCCUUACUUUAGUAUUUUGGAGAGAUCCCAGGUAUGUUGGACCUCUUCUGUAUGGAGUAAAAAAUCUUGAAAUGUUCAGCUUGGUAUUGGUUGCCAUUUCAAUCCUAUUAGUUGCCAUUUAUUUGGGAUUAAUGCUUUGGUACACUUUGAGAUCAUAUUUGCUCAUUAACACCUCGUUCUUGCAAAGUUAAUCUCUUUCUAUUGGUUCUCUGUUUUUGAAACAAUAGCUGUGCUAAUGUAGAGCAUAGAACUCAUGACUCUGCAGCUAUGCCAUACAGCUUUGAGCUUCAUCCCAGGAACCUGGGGUUUUCUCUUCUCUGAACAUCACUCUGACCAGGAGAAUGCUUUACAAACAAAGAAACAGCACAUUUUGAGUCCAAUUGGACUAGAGAAAGUGUAGUAGUAAUUG
This is a long non-coding RNA of Juglans microcarpa x Juglans regia, 1111 nucleotides long. RefSeq lists it as uncharacterized. The transcript has 2 exons. The record is from RefSeq and is a predicted model, not a curated record. Lineage: Eukaryota; Viridiplantae; Streptophyta; Magnoliopsida; Fagales; Juglandaceae.